GAUCCAGAAAGAAGUUGGGUGGUAAAUGGUCAGCGGUUGAAACAUUACUUGGGUGGUGAGAUUCAGCGUCUCACCACAAUUAUCCAUCUCUCUGACCCUUGAGCAUAACUGUGUCAGGCUCGUGACGUUAAACAAGCGCUUACUGGGAGGCACCCCAGCCGUUUAACCUUUUCUUAUCUGUGAUUUUUGUUGUUUGAGUGUGUCUUGAUGGUGUGAAUUUGCUUUACUAUGUUUUAGUUUGAAUUGGUAAUUUUGAGUGUUUGAGUUGGAUGGUAGUUAGUAGGUAGUAACUAGUGCAUUGUUGUUAAUGUUGAUUUUUGUUGUGAAAGAGUAUGUCUUGGAGUGUUUUUUGUUUGUUUUGAUGUGUUCUAGUGUGAGUUAGGUUGCAAUGAUGUGUUUUGAAUUAGUUAGGUAUGUGUUGUGGGCAAAAGCAUAAUCUUGACAUGUUUAGUUAGGUGCAUUACCUAUUUCAUUCAUGUUUUAGGUUUAUGCAUUUGCUUUGUUUCAUGAUGAAUUCCUUGUGUUCUCUAUUGCAAAAAACGUGUCUAUCCAACCUUGCUUGUGAUUGAAUGAGUGGCAAAUGGCAAAGAUCCAAGAGGAGGGUGCCAGCUGCUGCAAAAAUCAACUCCUGCUAGACUACCGCUGGGCGGCACCUGGGCUGCACCUGCGCGCUGCACCAGCAGGGGCCCUUUUCUGGUAUGCAGCCCAGCUGCACGAAACGUGCAGCCCAGCGCCAGCGCUGCUGCAGUUAUUUUUUGCCCCUCUUUGACCCACUUCAAUUUUCCCUUUGACCCACUUUCUUUUUUGUUUAAAACCUAAUUCCUACCACUUUCCCUUUCUCUCUUUUCCAAACCAUCACCGUCAGCCCCCCCAACCUCUCCCUCAUUCUCGUAUUCUCUCAUCUCCCACCUUAUUCUCUCAAUCUUUGCCUCCAUUCCUUCCACCCUUUCAAACCCAUCACCACACAUCAACUCUUGGUGCCUCUGCAGCCCUCGGACAGAGUUGGUUCUAGCAUUUGGAGUUUUGUUUUUCCAC
Molecule: long non-coding RNA, 1035 nt
Filed under: Vigna radiata
Lineage: Eukaryota; Viridiplantae; Streptophyta; Magnoliopsida; Fabales; Fabaceae
Description: long non-coding RNA (VRAD_LNC014815)
Source: RNAcentral